Arabidopsis thaliana (thale cress) is the source of this 473-nucleotide long non-coding RNA. RefSeq annotates it as other RNA. Lineage: Eukaryota; Viridiplantae; Streptophyta; Magnoliopsida; Brassicales; Brassicaceae. The record is from RefSeq. The transcript has 2 exons.
GCGAUGUGGUUGAUGGCAUCAUAAUGUGGAAGAGCACACCAAAGUCACUGCUCGUUUUCUUCUGCAUCUUGGUUUUCAUUUUGCUGCUAGAGAUGAUGAGUUCGUUCAUUCCUGUUAUCAUCUUCCUCAUGGGUGUCAUCUCCUACUUCUAGAGUUCAGAAUUACCGCCCCGACAUGGCUAUCUCUCAGACGACUUCUACAACAGAUUUCGACCUUAACGAAGAGACCGGCACAAUCUAGUCUGGUUCCACACCAUGAGAAAGGAUUGGCGUGGAAGUGAAGCAUGGUCUUAAGCUCCUCUCGAGAUUCUCGGAAUGUUUGAGCGUACUUGUCUUCUUCAUGAAAUGUUGCCUCCCGGGAGAAUAUGUUAACAAAUCUACGUAUGAACAUUUAGUUAUUAAGUAAAAGUAAAAUCAAAAUUUUAGCUACAAAUUGAGAGAUUUUGUUUUCCCAUUCUCUAACAUUUACCGGAA